This 393-nucleotide unclassified non-coding RNA is filed under the name soil metagenome. RNAcentral describes it as "partial contains 5.8S ribosomal RNA, internal transcribed spacer 2, and large subunit ribosomal RNA". The stretch from base 1 to 120 matches the Rfam family "5.8S ribosomal RNA", at positions 35 to 154 of the family's 154-position model. The record is from RNAcentral.
GAUGAAGAACGCAGCGAAAUGCGAUAAGUAAUGUGAAUUGCAGAAUUCAGUGAAUCAUCGAAUCUUUGAACGCACCUUGCGCUCCUUGGUAUUCCGAGGAGCAUGCCUGUUUGAGUGUCAUUAAAUUCUCAACCUAACACCUGUUUUGCAAUGGGUUUUGUUAGGCUUGGAUAUGGGGGCUUGCAGGUCCGCUCUUUUGUGGUCUGCUCCUCUGAAAUGCAUUAGUGGGUUUGUGCCCCUCAUCUAUUGGUGUGAUAAUUAUCUACGCCGUGGGUGAUGGAUUGGCCAUCAAUGAACCUGCUCAUAACCGUCCGUCUCGGACAACUUUGAUCAUUUUGACCUCAAAUCAGGUAAGACUACCCGCUGAACUUAAGCAUAUCAAUAAGCGGAGGA